This is a long non-coding RNA of Arvicola amphibius (Eurasian water vole), 1533 nucleotides long. RefSeq lists it as uncharacterized. The record is from RefSeq and is a predicted model, not a curated record. The transcript has 4 exons. Lineage: Eukaryota; Metazoa; Chordata; Mammalia; Rodentia; Cricetidae.
UGUGAGUCACGGUAAGUGGCGAUGUUGAUGAGUUCAGAGGGCGAGGAAGGUGUUUAAAUCCGAAUGUUGAUACAGAAGAUGCCCACAUUCGCCCAGGAGAAAGGGUGAGACUGUCCCUUGGUUGAGAAAGAUAGUUCCAAAAUCGAGAGGCUGUGAAGUAUUUUGUGUUUGCCCCCAGAGUCACAGGUACCCGGGUUCCUAUUUCUACUAAAUUAGCCUGAGAGAUAAGCUUCAAAGGACCAAGCUUUCUGCCAGCAGGGUCUCACCAUGUGGAAUGCUCAGAGGGGUUGCAUGUGUCUACCCAGACCACCUGGCUUGAAAGGGAAUGAAAGCUACCACCAGUAUGUUGAUGGGACCUGAAAGCCAAGGCUGGUCAGUGACUGGAUGCUACGCUCAAGUUUGAGUCUCCAGAGCGAGGGCAGUGGUGGGAGAAGCACACCAUGUUCCAAAGUGUUAUACACAUGAACACACCUGGAGAAGUACAUGGCCCUUCUCAGGUCAGAGAAUAGGUAACAACUAAAGCUCACCUUCAUAGGAUCACAUGGAUUCCUAACCAAGAUAUCUUCAACACCUGUCUGAGCCACAUUCACAGCCAUGGCCACUUCUAAUUCCGCCGUCCAGAGUUCACCCAGAUCCUAAGCCUUCCAAACCUGACAGCCUACUUUGAAGAAGCGCAGGAGGAAGGGUCAGUCCCUCUUUUCUUACCACCUGAUGUCUCUCUGUGCAACAUGUUUGGUACCCUGUUCCAGCAUCUCAACUGAAAUGGCACCGGGGGGUGGAGGAGGUGUGGGAGGUGGAAAUGCUACAGAAAGCAGAACCAAGAACAAAGAGGAAAACAUAGUAAAUUCUACAAUACAAACCUUGAGACAAAUAAUUGCUGGAUCUAUCCUGUGAUGUGUAAAAUGUAGUUUUCCCUAGCUCCUUCUGUUUUAAACUCACUGUGUCCCUGAUGGAUGACUCUGAGCUCCUUCUGCCUCCUAAGACCCAGGUGUAUGCCAGCAGCUUCAUGCAUACGAGACAAACAUUCUAGCAACUGUUGUGUGAAAUUGUGUUUCAACAAAUGUUCAUAUGCUGAGGCAAAAAUUACAUGUACACAUACACCCGUUUAAAAGCUAGUUUAAGAGGGGUUCUGUGUAGUAUGCAUAGCUUAGAGCAAGGAAUACUGGGAAGUUUACAUACAUGUGCUUUAGUUACCUGGAUAAAGAUUCUCUUCCAGAAGCCUGAUGGAACAAAACGCAUUUCAAAAACUCACAUAAAACCAGGCAGUGGCUUACAUGCGCUGCAUGCCACUGUAUCUUCACCAUUUUAGAAAAGGUCCCUUCCCUGUUGACGGGCCCCACCAUAGGCAUAAACACUGACCUCUCUUCCCAGCCAGAGCUAAUGGUGUCCCUUGAUCUCACAAAUAAUGUAACUUUUUCCCUUGUGAGAUCUUUGUCUUCAUAGAAAUUAAAACUAGGACUUCAGCAUCAUUGGAAUUCUGAUUUAAGCAACAGAACUACCUGGGUUUUGAUGUGUUCAUUAAGGAAAGAAAUG